AUGCUAAUUUAAUCUUCUUUUUGCCCUUUUGUGCGUAGAGAAAUGAAUUUUAUCGAGAAGAGUAGAUUUUUCUAUGAAUUUCUUUCUAUUUUUUUGAAUUUUGAAGAGGGGUCAAAUUUUCUCUCUCCUUUGAUAAAGAAUAUAGGUAUAAAGAUUGUGCAAAGCCAAAACUAGAUUUACUGGAAAAAGCUUAUUGCUAUAUUUGAAAUUUUCUUUCUUCUCAUUUCAUGAAGGGUCACGGUUGUAUCCACUUCAAUAUUCGUCCAUCAAUACAUAUCUCAAAGCGAAAUAAAGAUGAUCCAAUGGUCGCGGGCAUGGAUCUCAACUUUUUUCUUUUCUUUCUUUUGACUUUUCGUUUGUUUUUGUUUCUUUUGAUUUUUGGUUUUUUUUUAAAUUAGUGGGGGGGAAUAUAUUUUUUUUUGUUUUAUUGUGUGUGCGUGCUUUGUUGGUAAGAUUUUUUCGCUUGCCUUUAGGAAGCUGAAAUGUUUGGACGGAAGUAUGCCAAGUGAACGAGGUCUCUGCUUUGCUUGCCAUUGACUUUACCCGGCUCAUCGUUUCCGCGAACGAGAUAGGAAGGAAGCGAGAAGGAAAGCCAAAGCCCUCUUCCUUGUUUGCCUUGUCUUAUCCGAGCAGAGCAAGGAGGAAACCGAGGUUGUGCGAUGGCGAGCGCUUUCCUCUCUUCCAUCCUAUCAAAAACCAGCCAAGUACUGGGCUUUGCUCAGAGAUCGGCAGUCUCGCUGUCUUCAUCAUCGGAUCCAUGCAGCAGUGUCCUGAAAGAUCUGGAGAAAAUGGAGAGAACAUUGAAGAGGAUCCAGGCAGUGCUCCAUGACGCGGAGGAGAGGGAGAUACGAGACGAAUCCGUCAAGCUCUGGCUGAAGGAGCUUAAAGAAGUGGCUUAUGAUGCAGAUGACGUGCUGGACGAGUACGAGUACGAGUUACUGCGAGCCCAAGUGGAAGGCCGAGCUUCCCGCGAGAGGAAGCGAGUGGAAGGGGACGACGAGGUUUCAACUCCGGACGGCAUGGGGGAUAGAAUCAGGGACAUCAAGGAGAGGUUCGAUGAGAUCUCGCAGGAUCGGGAACGCCUCCGUUUAAGAGAGGAAGAUGGAGAGAGACGGGUCCUCAAAGCUCCGUACCCAGCAUCAACCAGCCACAUGGUGGAGGAGUCGGGUAUUUAUGGAAGGGAACGCGACAAGCAGGAGGUAAUUGAUUUGCUGUUCUCCGAGGGUGUGGGAAAUGGUAUCUCCGUCAUUUCGAUUGUCGGCAAGGGGGGACUGGGAAAAACCACCAUCGCCCAGCUGGUCUACAGCAACUCCAAGGUAAAAGAAUAUUUCGAUCUAACCGGAUGGGUUUGCGUAUCCGAUGAUUUCGAUGUUCCAAGGCUAACAAAGGCCAUCCUUGAGUCUAUUACUCAAAGUUCAUGUGAUCUUACACAACUAAGCACACUUCAAGAUUCUCUCAAGAAAAGCCUGAAGGGUAAGAGAGUGUUACUCGUGCUCGACGAUGUCUGGAAUGAUCAGCAAAGCCAUUGGGAGUCGUUAAGAAACCCCUUCGUUGGCGCAGAAACCGUAAAAAUUAUUGUGACUUGUAGGAAUUAUUCUGUCGCUGAGAUCAUGCAGACAAUGCGUCCUUAUCAUCCUGGCUGCUUGUCUCCAGAGCAGUCUUGGUCAUUAUUCAGACAUUAUGCAUUCGGUAGUCAAGACCCUGAAAAACAACCACACUUGGCGGAUAUCGGUAAGCAGAUUGUCAAGAAGUGUUCUGGUUUACCAUUGGCUGUGAAAUCAAUAGGAAGCCUUCUAAGACACAUGGCAGUUAAAGAUGACUGGAUGGAUGUCAUGCAAAAUGAUGUAUGGGAAAUCGAAGAGAAUAAUGAGAUUUUUCCAGCUCUUAGAUUAAGCUAUAGCCGCAUGCCAGCACGUCUAAAACCUUGUUUCGUUUAUUGUUCCAUGUUUCCCAAGGAUUAUGCGUUUGAGAAAGAUGAAUUAGUCCGAUUGUGGAUGGCGCAAGGUUACAUCGAGACAUCUGGAGGUAAAAGAAGAAUGGACGACACUGGCAAUGAAUACUUCAAUGACUUGCAAAGAAGAUCAUUCUUUGAUUCCUAUCGGUCUAAGUUUAAGAUGCAUGAUAUGAUACAUGAUUUAGCGAAAUCUAUUGCAGGAAAUGAGUGCUGGGCAAUUGUGGAUAAGAAGCUACCUAGUCUCCCCAAUGAGGUUCGCCAUUUAUAUAUUGGGAAAUCACUGCGCUGCUAUAAUUUUAGCGCCUUACGGACGUUGUUAUUACAACAUCGGUAUGGAGAUCGAAGAGUAAUCCCUGAAAUAAUCAAGAAUCUGCCGCUACUAAGAUGUUUACGGACUCUACAGUUUUUUUGGGAAAGGAAAGAUGAGAUACCAGAUUUAUUUGGGAAUCUGAAGCACUUGCGCUACUUAUGUAUCACAUCCUACGAAAUUGAGAAGCUCCCUGAAUCAAUAUGCCUCCUUUAUCACCUACAGAUAUUGGUACUUGAUUGCGAGAAUCUUGCAAAGUUACCAGAUGGCCUAGGCAACCUUACUAACCUCCACCACUUACAAAUUGCGAACAAGGUAAUUCUUAGCCUGCCAGCUGGGAUCGGAAAACUAACAAAUCUUCAGAGCUUGCUUGGAUGUUAUAUAGUGCAGGGUGGGAUAGGAGGAGCGCUGAAGGGCUUGGCGAACCUCCGAACUCUCAUUAUCUCAGGGCUCAGGAACAUGGUCAACAUAGAGAAUGCUAGAAAUGCCGGUCUUAAACAUAAGCAUAAAUUUGAGCAGUUGGUUCUACAUUGGAAUGCGGUCAACGAAAAAUGUGCUUUGCAUGGUAUUGGACACUACAGAAUACUACAUCUAGAAGCGGAAAAUAAGGAUGUCCUGGCCGAUGAAAAAAGAGAGGAAGCGAUGCUUGAGUAUCUUCAACCUCACUCCAACCUCAAAAUUUUGUCUAUACAAGGGUAUGGUGGUUGCAAGUUUCCUGAAUGGGUUGGAGAUCCUUUCUCCUUUGCAUCACUUCAAAGAAUCCGUAUAUUUAAUUGUGAAAAAAUAAAUUCUCUUCCUCUAUACAUUCAUGACUCUCUUGGAAAUUUGGACGAACCCAUAUCAACAUCCAUGCUUGAGAGGGUGUAUAUUUCUGGUUGCCGGCAACUCACAUCCAUAGCAGGGCUGCAUCAUCUCCACUUGCUUAAAUAUCUGAAGAUAUAUAAUUGUCCUCAACUCCGGCUCUUAUCAGAACAAGGACUGCCAUCCAAUGUUCGAUAUUUGCAUAUUGCGAAGUGCCAGCAAUUGACAUCACUGUCAGGCAUGCAAAACCUUACUUAUCUCAAAGAAUUAAUUAUACAAAAUUGUCCUAAACUUCAGAUUAUGGUAGAAGAUCAGCUCUCAUCUAUGCCUCAUAGAGUGGAAAUUAUUGAUUGCCCUGGAUUGAGUAACUGGUGCCAAAUACAAAGAAUCAAUUGCAUUCAGGUCGCUUCAGGUAACAAGCUGACUAUAUCGAACACAUGGGAGAAGAUAAUGCAUGGGUUUGAUGAUUUGAUAUCCGUUGAGCAUCUUUAUUUCAGUAACUAUUGGAAAUUCCUUAGGCCGACACAGAAGAAUAUAAUGCAAAGGUUUGAUAAGUCACAAUCCAUUGAGGAUCUUUAUUUCGGUGAUUCUUGGGAACCCUUUCGGCGAAGAGCCUCCAUAUCCAAACUUGAAGAGCUGACCAUAUGGGGUUGCACGAAAUUUUCACCACUACGGUGCCUGCCCCAGCUCAGAUCUAUUCGAAGCUUGGUUAUAAAGGACUGUCCUGGAGUUCGAGUCCUGCCAUCAUAUCUACUACUAUCCACGCUCAAGUCCUUGGUGGUUGAUAGUUGUGAGGACCUAAUAUUUUUGCGAUUGGCGCAGCCGAGCCGAUAUACAUUUGAGGAGUUGCAGCUUGUUAGUUGCCCUAAACUCGAACGGGUAGAAGGGCUGAAUUGUCGUUUUCUCGCAAACAUAUUAAGAAUAGAACGAUGCCCUCAACUUCGGCUUCCACAAGAUGAUCUGCCCCAUCUCAUAUCUAUUCGAAGCUUGGUGAUAAAGGACUGUCCUGGAGUCCGAGUCUUGCAAGAUAGACUGCUCCCAUCCACGCUCAAGUCCUUGGUGGUUGAUAGUUGUGAGGACCUAACAUUGUUGCGGUUGAAGCAUCAGAAUCGAUAUGUAUUUGAGGAGCUGCAACUUGUGAAUUGCCCUAAGCUCGAAUGGGUAGAAGGGUUGAAUUGUCGUUUCCUCGCAAAAAUCUUAAGAAUAGAACGAUGCCCUCGACUCCGGCUUCCACAAGAUGUUCGGCAGCCAUCUAUUCCUCCACGUGUUAAAUGUCAGUUCUCAUCUAUGCCAUACAGAGUGAAAAUUGUUGAUUGCCCUGGAUUGAGUCACUGGUGCCAAAUACAAAGAAUCAACUGCAUUCAGGUCGCUUCAGGCACCAAGCUGACUAUAUCGAACACAUGGGAGAAAAUAAUGCAUGGGUUUGAUGAUUUGACAUCCAUUGAGUAUCUUUGUUUCAGUAAUUCUUGGAAACUCUUUCUACGAAGAGACUCCAUACCCGUUCUUGAAGAGCUGACCAUAUGGGGUUGCACGAAAAUCCCACCACUACGGUGCCUGCCCAAGCUCACAUCUCUUCGAAGCUUGGUAAUAAAGGAUUGUCCUGGAAUCCGAGUCCUACCAUCUUGUCUGCUACUAUCCACGCUCAAGUCCUUGGUGGUUGAUAGUUGUGAGGACCUAAUAUUUUUGUGGUUGGCGCAGUUGAGCCGAUAUGCAUUUGAGGAGCUGCAGCUUGUUAAUUGCCCUAAGCUCGAACGGGUAGAAGGGCUGAAUUAUCGUUUCCUCACAAACAUAUUAAGAAUAGAACGUUGCCCUCGACUCCAGCUUCCACAAGAUGAUCUGCACGAGCUCAUAUCUCUUCGAAGCUUGGUUAUAAAGGACUGUCCUGGAGUUCGAGUCUUGCAAGAUAGACUGCUCCCAUCCACACUCAAGUCUUUGGUGGUUGAUAGUUGUGAGAACCUAACAUUUUUGCGGCUGGCGCAGCCGAGCCGAUAUGCAUUUGAGAAGUUGCAACUUGUAAAUUGCCCUAAGCUUGAACGGGUAGAAGGGCUGAAUUGUUGUUUCCUCGCAAAAAUCUUAAGAAUAGAACGAUGCCCUCGACUCCAGCUUCCACAAGAUGAUCACCAUCCAUCUAUUCCUCCACGUGUCGAAGAUCAGCUAUGCCUGACGAAGUGGAAAUUGUUGAUUGCCCUGGAUUGAGUAACUGGUGCCAAAUACAAAGAAUCAACUGCAUUCAGAUACCCUCCAUCCCAAUUUUCAAGUGCUCCAAUUGAUCACUUGAAGACUUAUACAAUUGUACAUUCUCAGAUUGUUUGUUUUAAAUCUUCUGUAUGAAACACAAGCACCAACAAAGUUCUCUAAUUGUCUUUUGCUAAUGUACCAGGUCGUUUCAGGCAACAAGCUGAGUACAUCGAACACAUGGGAGAAAAUAAUGCAGUGGUUUGAUGAUUUGACAUCUGUGGAGCAUCUUUGCUUCAGUAAUUCUUGGAAACUCUUUCGGCUAAGAGACUCCAUACGUGUACCUGAAGAGUUGACCAUAUGGGGUUGCACAAAACUCCCACCACUAUGGUGUCUGCCCAAGCUCACAUCUCUUCGAAGCUUGGUAAUAAAGGACUGUCCUAGAGUCCGAGUCUUGGAAGAUAAACUGUUCCCAUCCACGCUCAAGUCCUUGGUGGUUGAUAGUUGUGAGGGCCUAACGUUUUUGCUGUUGGCGCAGCAGAACCGAUAUGAAUUUGAGGAGCUGCAGCUUGUGAAUUGCCCUAAGCUCAAACGGGUACGAGGGCUGAAUUGCAUUGUUUCUCCAAAAAUUUUAAGAAUAGAACGAUGCCCUCAACUCCGGCUUGCACAAGAUGAUCUGUUCGAGCUCAUAUCUCUUCGAAGCUUGGUGAUAAAGGACUGUCUUGGAGUCCGAGUCUUGCAAGAUAGACUGCUCCCAUCCACGCUCAAGUCUUUGGUGAUUGAUAGUUGUGAGGAGCUAACAUUUUUACGAUUGGCGCAGCCUAGCCGAUAUACAUUUGAGGAGCUGCAGCUUGUAAAUUGCCCUAAGCUCGAAUGGGUAGAUGGGUUGAAUUGUCGUUUUCUCGCAAAAAUCUUAAAAAUAGAACGAUGCCCUCAACUUCGGCUUCCACAAGAUGAUCGGCAGCCAUCUAUUCCUCCACAUGUCGAAGAUCAGCUCUCAUCUAUGCCUGACGAAGUGGAAAUUGUUGAUUGCCCUAGAUUGAGUAAUUGGUGCCAAAUACAUAGAAUCAACUGCAUCCAGGUCGCUUCAGGCAAUAAGCUGACUACAUCGAACACAUGGGAGAAGAUAAUGCAUGGGUUUGAUAAUUUGACAUCUGUUGAGCAUCUUUGUUUCAGUAAUUCUUGGGAACUCUUUCUGCGAAGAGACUCCAUACCCGUACUUGAAGAGCUGACAAUAUGGGGUUGCACGAAAAUCCCACCACUACGGUGCCCGCCCAAGCUCACAUCUCUUCGAAGCUUGGUUAUAAAGGACUGCCCUGGAAUUCGAGUCUUGGAAGAUAAACUGUUCCCAUCCACGCUUAAGUCCUUGGUGGUUGAUAGUUGUGAGGGCUUAACGUUUUUGCUGUUGGCGCAGCAAAACCAAUAUGAAUUUGAGGAGCUGCAGCUUGUGAAUUGCCCUAAGCUCAAACGGGUGCGUGGGCUAAAUUUCAUUGUUUACCCAAAAAUCUUAAGAAUAGAACGAUGCCCUCAACUCCGACUUCCACAAGAUGAUCUGUCCGAGCUCAUAUCUCUUCGAAGCUUGGUGAUAAAGGACUGUCCUGGAGUUCGAGUCUUGCAAGAUAAACUGCUCCCAUCCACGCUCAAGUCCUUGGUGGUUGAUAGUUGUGUGGAGCUAAGAUUUUUGCGGUUGAAGCAUUGGAACCGAGAUGCAUUUGAGGAGCUGCAGCUUGUGAAUUGCCCUAAGCUCGAACUGGUGGAAGGGUUGAAUUGCCUUCUCCACACAAAAAUUUUAAGAAUAGAACGAUGCCCUCGACUCCGGCUUCCACAAGCUGAUCUGCCCGAGCUUAUAUCUCUUUGAAGCUUGGUUAUAAAGGACUGUCCUGGAGUUCGAGUCAUGCAAGAUAGACUGCUUCCAUCCAUGCUCAAGUCCUUGGUGGUUGAUAGUUAUGAAGAGCUGACAUUUUUGCGGUUGAUGCAGAAGAACCGAUAUGCAUUUGAGGAGCUGUAGCUUGUCAAUUGCCCUAAGCUCAAACGGGUGGAAGGGCUGAAUUACCUUUUCCUCACAAAAAUCUUAAGAAUAGAACGAUGCUCUCGACUCCGGCUUCCACAAGAUGAUCAACUCUCAUCUAUGCCUUACACAGUGAAAAUUGUUGAUUGCCCUGGAUUGAGUAACUAGUGCCAAAUACAAAGAAUCAACUGCAUUCAGGUCACUUCAGGCAACAAGCUGACUAUAUCAAACACAUAAGAGAACAUAAUGCAUCUGUUUGCUGAUUUGACAUCCAUCGAGCAUCUUUGCUAUAGUAAUUCUUGGGAACUCUUUCUGCAAAGAGACUCCAUACUCGUUCUUGAAGAGCUGACCAUAUGGGGUUGCACGAAAAUUCCACCACUGCGGUGCCUGCCCAAGCUCACAUCUCUUUGAAGAUUGGUUAUAAAGGACUGCCCUGGAGUCCGAAUCUUAAAAGAUAGACUGUUCCCAUCCAUGCUCAAGUCCUUGGUGGUUGAUAGUUGUGAGGGCCUAAUAUUUUUGCUGUUGGCACAGCAGAACCGAUAUGAAUUUGAAGAGCUGCAGCUUGUGAAUUGCCCCAAGCUCAUAUGGGUGGAAGGGCUGAAUUGCCUUUUCUUCCCAAAAAUCUUAAGAAUAGAAUGAUGCCCUCAACUCCCGCUUCCAGAAGAUGAUCGGCAACCAUCUAUUCCUCCACGUGACGAAAUUGCAGAGAAAACGGAGAACAAAGAAACAAUUGAUGAUGGAACCCAAGAGAAACAAGUGUUGGAUUGUGUGAUGAUUGAGCAUGCUAACAGUGCAAAACCAUUGGACCUGGUGUUGGACCCACGCCGCUGGAGCAGAAGGCCGCAUCGUCGGAGUAGGAGGCGGACGACCACCUUCAGAUCAGGUGAUCAAGGAUUUGUCAUCCGGACGUAAGAAAUUGGAAAGCAUAUUACAUUGAAUAAAACUACUAGGAGCAGGGAGCUUGGUGUUAUUCAGGGUUGGGGUAACUGAAAAUAUUAUGUAAUAAUUAAAUAUUAGAAGCUCUGUACUGUUCCAACUUCAUGAACAAUGUUAUGACAUUAGUAAAUGAAACUAUUUAUUUUCAUUAUGAAAUUUUAAGUGGCUUCGUGUUAUUGUGUGCAUAAGAUUGCAAUAGCACGGCCGUGUCAUGAUCCGGAUUUAGGGCGUGACAAGUUCUUGCAAAAUAGAAUAGAAAAGGUGACAAAUUUGGAUAUGUAUGCUACGACAAAUUAUUUGUUUUUUGCUAUAGCUUGAAACAAAUGGCAAUUAAAGAUAAGAUUCAUAAAGCUGACUCUAAUUACAUGGUAAGUCUUGUUGCUUGUGGCUAUGCACAUAUCCUAUUCUCUAUGGAUGCAUCCUUUUCCAUGCCUAUUGAAGAGCUUAUAAUGAGUCACUAGCUUCACUGUAUACCUCAGCAAAGUUGCAUAUAGAUAUAUUGGUUUUGAAAGAUUACAUCCAUUUAAAAUGAAUCCCUAGAGAGUUAUACUCUAAUAAGUAACUUGUCGUGAUGGUAAUUUUUUUGUCUGACCCAUUCGACCAACCCUCUCCGAUCCAUCAGACCUUUUAAGCUCUGUAUAUAGAUAUUCCCUAACUUUUAACUUCUUUGGCUUGAAUGUGCUCCAAAAUUAAAAGUUCAUGCCUUUCUUCCUAUCUUUUUCGACCAUCUGGAUGUAUAAUUCAUUUGUCUGAUGUUGUUUAGAUGAUCGCAUGCGUGAAUUUGUCAUGCAUUACUGUCUUUGGCUUUUUUAAUGAUUAUUUUAUUGAAGAACAAAAAUGAUUAUUUCUUGUGCAAAAUCAUGCCGAUGCUUGGCAUUGCAUUCAUAGACUAGAACUCCAAGUGCAGAAACAUAAGAAAAGCCAUGAAGGUGUUUCAGAGUAUGAGGGAGGUUUAAAAUUUUUUUCCCUUUCUGAAUAUAAAUAACUUACGCCGUCAUUUGAAAUCUGGUGCGCCUUCCACCUUCCUUCACUUUUCUACCUGAAAAAUUUGCAUGUUGGAAAGAGGAAGACAAGAGUCAUUGGAAGUAACAUUUUUAGAUCAUAUGCUGUGUAACUUCAUAGGAAGAAUACCUUUCGGAUCUCUGCUGAACUAUGAUAUUGAAGAAUAGUCAUAUUGAUAUGGAACAAUGGAACUAUCCCUAUCUCACCCCAAACCAUUAUUUAACUUUCUAAAAGGAAUUGCUGGUCACAUCAAAGCAGAAAUGCUGCAACAUAAAGAUCGAUAUAUGCUUUUUAUUGUUAAGAGCUUAGAAAUCGAAUCAUAUGGCAAUUUAAUUGUGAAAUGGUAAAAGAUUGAUAAGGUGAACUGUUUAUGGGAAUGGUUUAUAAGUAACUAUACAUUGGAUUCAAAAUUUUUUUAAAAGCACUGUAGCUUGGGAACAUGACAGAUUGUGAUCACACCGAUAGAUAAUCAUCGUGCUUAGACUGGGUAUGUUGUAUAGUACAUAAAUAUUAACUCUUAAAUCCAGGGUUGCCUUGGCAUGAUGGAUUACAUCAGCAUCUGAGGUAUAGAGAAAACAUUGACACAUUAGCAAGAGUGUUAGAAGAACUAAGACCAACUUAAUAAUAGGGAAGUGCUUAAUAGACCCACUAAUGGUGCUAUGUGAUGCAUUAAACCUUCUUUCAUAGUAAUAAAAGUUUUAAACCUUUGAUUCAUUUUUAGUGAUGUAAAAGAUGCACUUUAAAUUUAUAAACAGAGAUGUGUUUUUAAGCCAAUGGGAGAUCAGGCAGCAGCAAUGAAAUCUCUAUGUGGACUAUAUUCAGGUUUGAAACUAGUGCAACUUGGGACUUAGACUGCAAAUUGCUGCCACCAUCCUAUAUUCAACAGAAUAGAACGGAGAAUCUUAUCUACUUUUCUGAGAUGCCAAUCCUUCUUUUUAGUAAUUACAUCCCAAUCAUUGUUGUAAGAGCCAUAAAUUUGAUGUUUACUGGGAAAUUAGUAACACAUAGAUAAUUCAACAUGCUUUCCUGGUGAGAAUAACAACUGGUGGUCAAGAAUGGAAAUAAAAUUCUAGUUUUAUACCACACUUCCAAAAAUACCCACUGCAUUAUAUGUUUCUCUUGACAUAAAACAUGAACAUAAUUUCCAAAUAAACAAAUAAAAUAACUCCCUUAUCCAAGGAAAUAUCUAGUUAAUAAUUGAUAUCCAGAAUCAUUAUUUUGCCUACCUGAAAUGCUGGCUUGCUUGCCGGUCACCAUUACAAUCUACUAGAGUUUUGGAUGUACAAUGCAUAUCUUUGGAGAUAGAUUUAACAAUUGCACUGUGUGAAUUUAGGUUUUCCAUGAAGUGAAAAGUAAGCUUUCACCUUGGAAUUGCCUGCUGUACAUGGUAGACUUUGAGAUUUGAAUGCAAUUUCUUAAUGUAGUUACUUGUGUAUUGAUUAUCACAUGAUAUAUUUCUGAAUCUUAGAGUCCACCAUGUCUUUUGUUUUUUUAAAGUAAUAUGAAAAUAUCCAAGAUUCGAAUGCUGUAACUCCUGGAGAGUAAGCCCUCAGGAGUGAGGUGCCAAUGGACUAUGUUAAAAGUUGUUGACAGUCUGCCAUGCAUAUUAGAUACAUCCGAAAUAGAAAGUUAGUUUCCUCUUCAUCAAGGACCUAGGCUGCACUAAUUGCACUUUAUAUUGUUCGGACAUUGCCGUUACAAAUUCUAAUAUAGGUCGCUUUAUGCCAUGAUUACAA
Phoenix dactylifera (date palm) is the source of this 10919-nucleotide non-coding RNA. The record is from RefSeq and is a predicted model, not a curated record. NCBI's taxonomy places the organism in Eukaryota, Viridiplantae, Streptophyta, Magnoliopsida, Arecales, Arecaceae.